UUCAGGUGCAUCAACCUUCCCCCAACCCAGAGAUAACAAGGGGAUGUUAGGAGUCCUGUCUUCCAACCUGCCAAGAAAAACGGCCUUGCCAGAAGGGUCCAGUCUCCUCACUGGCCAGAGCCACGAUAUGAUGCAACUGGGGCCCAGAAAGUUACUGUGUCAGCACCACAAACCGGAUAAUGAAAAGAAAAAGACAUUCAGAAUGGCAGUGGUGCCCACCUGAGAGGUGACGGAACUGAGUUCCAACAAGUUCUGGCUGGAAAAAAAGCCCUCGUCUUUAGGAAGUUAUCACAUG
This is a non-coding RNA of Podarcis muralis (Common wall lizard), 295 nucleotides long. Lineage: Eukaryota; Metazoa; Chordata; Lepidosauria; Squamata; Lacertidae. The record is from RefSeq and is a predicted model, not a curated record.